RNAcentral lists this ribosomal RNA (254 nucleotides) under uncultured bacterium. RNAcentral's name for it is "partial 16S ribosomal RNA". It matches the Rfam family "Bacterial small subunit ribosomal RNA", at positions 524 to 777 of the family's 1533-position model. The record is from RNAcentral.
UACGGAGGGUGCGAGCGUUGUCCGGAAUCACUGGGCGUAAAGGGCGCGUAGGUGGCGCGAGCAGUCGGUCGUGAAAGUCCGGAGCUCAACUCCGGAUCGGCGGUCGAUACUCUCGUGCUUGAGCACUGUAGAGGCAGGUGGAAUUCCGGGUGUAGCGGUGGAAUGCGUAGAGAUCCGGAAGAACACCGGUGGCGAAGGCGGCGCUCUGGGCCGGUACUGACACUGAGGAGCGAAAGCGUGGGGAGCAAACAGGG